AGAUGCAUCUGCUGCUGAUAUUCUGUCUUGUAUGUUCGUUGAUUGUGGAAUGUUCUACACAAAAACAGGGCGCAUGCCCACGUUGCGGCAUUAGACCUGCUGUGUGCAUAUGGGAUUGCGAGUCCGACAAUGAAUGCCCCGGCGCAAAGAAAUGUUGCCAAUGUAGCAGCUGCAUGUUCACCUGUGAGACACCAAUCUUGGACACGUAUCGUCCGUGACGUCCUGACGUCCAUGACACCACCUAUUUAGGGCUUCCUGAUAUGGGGAUCGGGGUCUAUUGAGUACAAUGAAAACCAAUGUUUUCAAAAAAGGAAGUGUUAAGAUUUUGCGUUUAACAUGUCUCGCAUAUAAUGCAAUUUAAGGACAAACAUUUGUC
This is a long non-coding RNA of Dreissena polymorpha, 376 nucleotides long. RefSeq lists it as uncharacterized. Lineage: Eukaryota; Metazoa; Mollusca; Bivalvia; Myida; Dreissenidae. The transcript is spliced from 3 exons. The record is from RefSeq and is a predicted model, not a curated record.